Molecule: transfer RNA, 73 nt
Filed under: Calamus penna (sheepshead porgy)
Lineage: Eukaryota; Metazoa; Chordata; Actinopteri; Spariformes; Sparidae
Description: tRNA-Leu
Rfam family: tRNA
About the family: Transfer RNA (tRNA) molecules are approximately 80 nucleotides in length. Their secondary structure includes four short double-helical elements and three loops (D, anti-codon, and T loops).
Source: RNAcentral
AUUAAGGUGGCAGAGUUUGGAAUUGCAAAAGAUCUAAGACCUUUGGACAGAGGUUCAACUCCUCUCCUUGAUU